Humulus lupulus (European hop) is the source of this 1945-nucleotide RNA transcript. RefSeq lists it as uncharacterized. The record is from RefSeq and is a predicted model, not a curated record. The transcript is spliced from 2 exons. NCBI's taxonomy places the organism in Eukaryota, Viridiplantae, Streptophyta, Magnoliopsida, Rosales, Cannabaceae.
AUACCAAAUUCGUCCCUACAAUCUCGUCUUUCUCCUUCCCAUUAGUAAAAAAAAUUGUCGUCUCCUUCCAUGAGAAAAUUCAUUGUGUUAUCUUGUAAUUAGUUUGUGGAACCACUUUAAUAUCUUCGAUAACCAUCAUCAUCAUGUAUUCAGGAUCAAAUCCUUGCAAGACAGCGCCCUAUUAGGAUAGGGACGGGAUAGUUUCCCGUCUUCUCUUGAUGGAAGUUGAGGAGGUAAGGGUUGCGACACUUCUCGCCCCGCCCCACUCCACAUGCACCCUUAGUUACAAGCACAAUACUACAUUGGCAAUGCUGCAACAUUGCUGAAGCGGAAGCCUAGCAUUGUGCUAUACAUCAGUGCCACAUCCACUCAAAUUCUUUUAUUAUGCAUAAAUUAUCUAAUGUCUUAAAAUAAAUUAAAUUAAGGAAUAUGCUGUCAAAGUAGCAACGGUUGUGUAGAUUUAUAUGUUUGGGUAUAAUAAGCUGUGCAGACAAUGAUUGGCCUAAAAGGAAGUUAUUGUUUGUUAAAUAAUAUGCAUAUUUGCGAAAAUAAAAUUGUGAAGGUUAUCAAGUUUCUAUAUGAACAAUAGUCAGUCUAAAUAAAAGCUAAUACUUUCACUUGAUCUCUUAUCACAAAUAAUUAUUGCAUGUUGAGUGUCCCUUACAAGUUGUUCUUUUUGUUGAAAGACUAAAACAUCAAUGUUGUGUAGGUCUCUUACAUUGAGGCCCCAAUAUUGUUUGUUUGUUUAUAUUAUAUUAUAUACUAUAUAUUAUAAGUGUAUAAAUAUGUAAUCGUGUGUUGUAGUUUUGUUUUAACCUUUAACAUGAUAUUUUGGAUUAUGAGCUUUUGUUUCAAUUUUUGUUUUCUAUUUAGGAACUACUUUCGCUCCCAUUAAUGUUUCAAACAUUAAUUUUAUUCCUAUGCUUAAUGGCACAAACUUUAAGACUUGGAAAGAUAAGAUGUUACUUUUUCUCGGGUUAAUGAAUCUUGACCUUGCUCUAUUAAAAGAACAACCUUCACCUCUCAAUAAUGAAAGUUCUUCUGAGAUUAAAGAGGAAUAUGAGAGGUGGGAGCGUUCUAAUCGGUUAAGUCUUCUAAUAAUGAAAAACAGAAUUCCAGAAGCAUACUGGAGCACUUUAUCUCAUGAGAAAAAUGCUAAGAAGUUUCUUGAGGAACUAGAGAAACUUUUUGCAACGAACGAAAAGGUGGAGAUAAGUGCACUUGUAGCUAAACUUAUGUCAAUGAAGUAUAAAGGAAGAGGACAUAUAUGGAAGUACAUUAUGGAAAUGUGUAAUGUCAUUUCCAAGCUAAAUGCACUAAAGAUAAACCUGCCUGAGGAAUUUCUCAUGCAUCUUAUACUCAUUUCACUUCCUGUCCAAUAUAAUCAAUUUAGAAUGAGAUAUUGUCAAAAGGAUAAAUGGACUUUUAAUGAGCUCGUUUAUGACUGUGUGCAAGAAGAAGAAAGAUUAAAUGCUCUAAAUAUGUCGCGUGGCGCGUGAAAAAGGUACGUAUCUCAUUUUUGGUUUUUUUUUUUUUUAAAUUUAAUGUAGCUUAUGCAAGUUCGACAUUGAAUAUAGACAAACUAGCUUAUGCUUGUGAUCUUACCAAGAGUUCUACAAAACCCAAGGUAACAAAAAUUAUAGAUACCAAAUAUGGAUAUAAAACCCUUAUUUGCAGCUGCAUCACACACUUCUUAUAGGUACUAGGGGAAGCUGAAGUUGCUCUGCUAGUUGUUCUAGAGGCUAAGCCAUGGAAUGUCACUUGAAGACCUUUGAAGCUUUUUUGGGUUGUUCUUUUAAUUCAUGUUGUUGGAGAUUGUAAUAGUCUAGCUCAUAAUUUAGCAAAUUGGGCUUGGAACUAUCAAGUUUUUGGAAACUUAUCUUAGAUCAUUGUCUAGUGCACAUACUAUUUCUAUUAAUGAAUGAACAAUCUUAUACUUGGGCUC